RNAcentral lists this small RNA (223 nucleotides) under Peromyscus maniculatus bairdii (prairie deer mouse). RNAcentral's name for it is "7SK RNA (ENSPEMG00000004192.2)". The stretch from base 1 to 164 matches the Rfam family "7SK RNA". Rfam says of the family: 7SK was discovered as an abundant small nuclear RNA in the mid-70s but a possible function has only recently been suggested. Two independent studies have found that 7SK RNA binds the CDK9/cyclin T complex (known as elongation factor P-TEFb). The record is from RNAcentral. Lineage: Eukaryota; Metazoa; Chordata; Mammalia; Rodentia; Cricetidae.
GGGAUCUGGCAGAGACAUCUGUCAUCCCAUUGAUCAUCAGGGUUGAUUGGGUGAUCCGACUGGCACUGUGGGCGUCCCCCUCCUCCAUUUGUGUCCCUCUCAAAGCUUUGCCCUCAAAGAGGACGAUGACUUUUCCCAAUAGAGUCAAGCACUCCUCUGUUGGAACCUCCACACCAGUGCUGGAGCUCCUAGUGGGCUGAGCCCCGUGAGUCAGGGCCCCCUG